GCGAUGUUGGCGUAGUUGGUACCUAGUCUGCGUUUUGCUCGAAAGCGCCCGGUCGAGGGUUCGAAUCCCGAACACUGCA
Non-coding RNA from Earliella scabrosa, 79 nucleotides. Lineage: Eukaryota; Fungi; Basidiomycota; Agaricomycetes; Polyporales; Polyporaceae. The record is from the annotation of a GenBank genome assembly.